GAUGAAGAACGUAGCGAAAUGCGAUAAGUAAUGUGAAUUGCAGAAUUCAGUGAAUCAUCGAAUCUUUGAACGCACAUUGCGCCCAUUAGUAUUCUAGUGGGCAUGCCUGUUCGAGCGUCAUUUCAACCCUUAAGCCUAGCUUAGUAUUGGGAAUCGACUUUACUGUCGUUCCUCAAAUUCAACGGCGGAUUUAUAGCAAUCACUGAACGUAGUAAUUUUUUUCCUCGUUUUUGAAAUACUAUAAACCUCAGCCGCUAAACCCCCAAUUUUUUUAUGGUUGACCUCGGAUCAGGUAGGAAUACCCGCUGAACUUAAGCAUAUCAAUAAGCGGAGGA
RNAcentral lists this unclassified non-coding RNA (335 nucleotides) under soil metagenome. RNAcentral describes it as "partial contains 5.8S ribosomal RNA, internal transcribed spacer 2, and large subunit ribosomal RNA". The stretch from base 1 to 120 matches the Rfam family "5.8S ribosomal RNA", at positions 35 to 154 of the family's 154-position model. The record is from RNAcentral.